This 564-nucleotide ribosomal RNA is filed under the name Streptomyces sp. 319G04. RNAcentral's name for it is "bacterial SSU rRNA". It matches the Rfam family "Bacterial small subunit ribosomal RNA", at positions 93 to 671 of the family's 1533-position model. The record is from RNAcentral. Lineage: Bacteria; Bacillati; Actinomycetota; Actinomycetes; Kitasatosporales; Streptomycetaceae.
UAGUNGCGAACGGGUGAGUAACACGUGGGCAAUCUGCCCUUCACUCUGGGACAAGCCCUGGAAACGGGGUCUAAUACCGGAUAAUACCUGCCUGGGCAUCUGGGUGGGUUGAAAGCUCCGGCGGUGAAGGAUGAGCCCGCGGCCUAUCAGCUUGUUGGUGAGGUAGUGGCUCACCAAGGCGACGACGGGUAGCCGGCCUGAGAGGGCGACCGGCCACACUGGGACUGAGACACGGCCCAGACUCCUACGGGAGGCAGCAGUGGGGAAUAUUGCACAAUGGGCGAAAGCCUGAUGCAGCGACGCCGCGUGAGGGAUGACGGCCUUCGGGUUGUAAACCUCUUUCAGCAGGGAAGAAGCGAAAGUGACGGUACCUGCAGAAGAAGCGCCGGCUAACUACGUGCCAGCAGCCGCGGUAAUACGUAGGGCGCAAGCGUUGUCCGGAAUUAUUGGGCGUAAAGAGCUCGUAGGCGGCUUGUCACGUCGGGUGUGAAAGCCCGGGGCUUAACCCCGGGUCUGCAUUCGAUACGGGCUAGCUAGAGUGUGGUAGGGGAGAUCGGAAUUCCU